This 671-nucleotide ribosomal RNA is filed under the name Limosilactobacillus mucosae. Its description in RNAcentral is "Lactobacillus mucosae partial 23S ribosomal RNA". It matches the Rfam family "Bacterial large subunit ribosomal RNA", at positions 1 to 668 of the family's 2925-position model. Lineage: Bacteria; Bacillati; Bacillota; Bacilli; Lactobacillales; Lactobacillaceae. The record is from RNAcentral.
AGGUUAAGUUAUGAAGGGCGCAUGGUGAAUGCCUUGGUACUAGGAGCCGAUGAAGGACGGGACUAACACCGAUAUGCUUCGGGGAGCGGUAAGUACGCUUUGAUCCGGAGAUUUCCGAAUGGGGAAACCCAAUCAUCUUAGUCGAUGAUUGCCUGAGCAGUGAAUACAUAGCUGUCAGGCGGUAGACGCAGUGAACUGAAACAUCUAAGUAGCUGCAGGAAGAGAAAGAAAAUUCGAUUCCCUGAGUAGCGGCGAGCGAAACGGGAAGAGCCCAAACCAACGAGCUUGCUUGUUGGGGUUGUAGGACUGAACAUUUGAGUUACCAAAGUGCGACGUAGUUGAAGUCGUUGGGAAGCGACGCCAAAGAUGGUGAUAGCCCAGUAAACGAAACGUCACACUCUCAGUUCAGGAUCCUGAGUACGGCGGGACACGUGAAACCCCGUCGGAAUCCGCGAGGACCAUCUCGCAAGGCUAAAUACUCCCUAGUGACCGAUAGUGAACCAGUACCGUGAGGGAAAGGUGAAAAGCACCCCGGGAGGGGAGUGAAACAGUUCCUGAAACCAUGUGCCUACAAGCUGUCGGAGCACAUUUACGUGUGACGGCGUGCCUCUUGCAGAAUGAACCGGCGAGUCAUGAUUGCGUGCAAGGUUAAGGUGGAAAAACCGGAGCCG